Molecule: long non-coding RNA, 262 nt
Organism: Pantherophis guttatus
Lineage: Eukaryota; Metazoa; Chordata; Lepidosauria; Squamata; Colubridae
Source: RefSeq, a predicted model, not a curated record
AAGGAAGCCAUCUCCUCCAGCCCAUCUUUCGAUAACGGUAUUUCCAAGGUGCCUCUUUAGAUUGGGAGCAGCUUGGAGAACAGAUGCUGACUGCACCGCUCGGUCUGCGGAAAUGCACUCGGGUGUGUGCUGAGUCACACAGAUUUCCCAUCACUUUGGGGAGGACCAGCUGCCAGCGUGAAACUAAGGAAGAGUCCCUGGCUUCUGCCAUUCAAGGAAGUCCCAUUCACAUCAUAUUGCUUGGCUCCGUUCCUGAUUUGUG